CAUUUGACCACAUGUGAUACUCCAGACCGUUGGAUCUUCUAAUUGAUAUCAACGGUGAUGAGCCUCUUAUAUAUAAUGGCAUUUGAUGAUUGCCCUAAUGAACUUGACUCAUUUUUCUUCCAUCUCUUGAACUCUUUAGAAUCUGAGAUUUUUUGUCUUCCUUUCUCCUUCGUCUCUUUCGUCUUCUUUGUGUUUUCCUUGGAACUUCUGUGAUUUAGGGUUUGUAUUCUGUCUGAAUAAGUGAAUCUAAGUGAUUCUUGAAUGAGGAAAAAGGGUUUAUAUCUGUUUUGGGGCUUUUUUCUUUGGUCGAAGUAACCUCGUUCUAUUUUCUAUGUGGGUUUGGAUAUUUUGGUGCUUUACUUUUGUGCAGAAGGGUACAAUGAUUCUUGAGCCCAAAUAAUAAAUGAAAUCUUGGUGUCAAAUGUUAGAUUUGUUUUGUAACAUUUAACAGUGAAUGAUUUGGGAUACUUUGUGUGUAUUUUUUGAUUUCUUGGUAUAGUAGUGGUAUCAGAGCCUUUAGAGGCGUUAGGGCUUCGUUCGACGGUGAUCUAUUUGUGAAAAAUCAUUUUCACAGCGAGAUCUGAAGAGAUCUGUGUGAUCGAAACCCUAGAUCUAUUUCAACUACAGAUCGUACAUAUCUUUGUUUACUUUUUUUUUUUUUUUUUUAUAAUUAUGUGUUAGAUAAUCAUUCUCUACCAGAUACAUACAGUAGAAUUUUUAUUUAUGUCUAAAAAUCUUUGUCUACAAUCUCAAAUUCAGAAUUCAAUAAUUUCAAUUUUGAAAUAUCACGACGGCAUCACCUUCUGAAUAAACCAAUUUUGUGGUCAAUGGGUGAGGUUUGGACCCAUUCGGCUCUAUGACUCAAGUUCAAUGGGUUCUGAUGCCCCAAUUUGAGCCUUGACCUGAGGACGUGAUCUUCAUAGAAUCUUGGUGAAUUUGGGCAUUUGGGGCCUGAAGUGCAUUACGUUGAAUAUACUAUCGUUUCUUAUUAUUGUUAAUACUUUGUGUGUUACUGUUUUCUUGAUUCUUGAAGCUACUUGAUACUUAAUAAUCUUGGCCGACUCUUAGUGUUGUCAAACUUUAUUCUAUAUCCACAUGUUUUCUGUUGAACAUUGUAACUACAAAUAAUUUUCUCGUGUUGAUUAUGAACUCCAAAUGUCGACUACUAAGUUUGAACUUGGGGGUUUAAAUGGAAAAUGGGACUUCCCUAUUUGACAGCAAAAGAUGAAAUGGGUCCUUAUUCAACAGAAAGUCUUAGAGGCUAUAACUGCCGAAUAUUCUGCUACUAUGACUCAAGAACAAAAAACUAAAUCUGAUGAACUUGCCAACCCCUCUAUCAUAUUGCGUUCAUUUGAUCAAGUUUUAAGGAAAGUUGGGAAACUAGAUAAUGCAAAAGCUUUGUGGGAUAAAUUAGAAGAAAUUUAUUUAGUAAAAUCCUUACCAAAUAAAAUAUUUCUUCUGGAAAGAGUUUGCAAUUAUAAAAUAGACCCUUCCAAAAAUUUAGAAAAUAACAUUGAUGUUUUUAAUAAAUUAGUUCUAGAUAUAAACAAUGUUCAAGAAAAAGUCUCUAAGGAUUGAUCGUUUGAUUACCCGCAAGUGAACAUUUGGUUAGCAAGUAAUAUAGUAGUGUGUAGAGUGUCGAACCCACGAAGACUGUUUGUUUGAUCCAGUUAAAAUUAAUAAUACCCUUAAUCGAAUAGCAAAGUUAAGUUGUGAUUAAACAAUAUUAAAUUUGGCAACUAAAUUGAAAGCAAAGUAAAAAUUUAUCAAAUUCGCUAGAAGUAUUGUUAAGACAUGGAAUCCCCAUUGCUAAUCUAUUUUUAGUUCGAUAAUUUAAAUCGACAAUUUGAAAUCAUACUUAUUGGUCAAUAUUCUUAUUUUAAUUGAAAACCUCUCUAGAAAACUAUAAAAUCUAUUUUCUUCAUGCGACAUUUCAUCACUCAAUGAAAUAUACGAACAUGAUAAAUGCCAGAACAUCUUAUAAAAACCAUAUGAAGCAUAAAUGUAUAUCUCUAUCAUCUAUUGAACUUCACAAUAUUUAUUAUUUUGUGCUAAUGAUCUUAUUGUCUCUUUCGAUAACAACAAAAUUCACAAACAAUUCAACUAGUGGCCAAUUAAUUGAAAAAACAUGAAAAUGAUAAUAAACAUCCAAACAAUUAAACAAAUUAACGUCAAUUAAAUUAUUCAAAUUAAAAAUUCAUAACAAGGGUUCAUCACAUCUUAACAAAUAUUAAAAAUUAUCCUAACAUAUUGAAAUUACAAGAAAUCAUAUAUAAGUGGAAAGACAUAAUCCGAAUUUUUGAUAAAUUGUGAAGAUGAAGAUAAAUCUUGAAAUCUUGAAUCUCUUCAAUAGUUUCUUAAUGAAUCUCCACUUGCGCUCUCUCUUCUUUGUCCAAUACCAAGUUUGAAUCUUCACGUGAUUGAAUUCUUGCAAGUCCCCUUCGAUUCUCUCACAAAAACAAUGAAUUCUCCUCCUUUGAUGAUAAUAAUUGAUGAAUAUUGGAGUAUAUUAUGUAUAAGAGACAUGUACGAAAGCCCCCUUCAUGUAUUCUCCUGUUGGGUAUCUGUAGUGGUCGAAAAUUGGUGAAAAAUCACGCCCAAGUUGGUUUUUAAAAGAGUCCCAAUCGAAUAAGCAAAGUUACACUCGCACGCGGAUUUUUUGCUCUGCACAAUAGUCAAUAUUUUGGUCAUAACUUUGUCUCCCAAUAUUUGAUUGAGUUCAUUCAAAAUGCAUUGAAAAGAUAACUAAAAGGACUACAAUUUUUUUAGAGAUAGAUAUUUUUCAAUUAGGAUGUUUACUAUGCCUAAAAUUGGUCGCAAUCCUUGACAAAAAAUCUAGAAGUUAUAUCAUGUAAUUGGAAGUUGAUUUAUGAUAAUAUUCUGAUGAUAUUCCAUUCCUUUUUGACUUCUCAUUGCAUCCAAUUGAAUCCCAUCAAUCUUUAAAAUAUCUCUUAUGGUCCAAUUCAACAAUUGGAUUUUGCAAUUUGGUCCUCAACUUUGUACUUCAUCAUUUUUUGCCGUUUUUUCGCUUAUUUCUUUUAAUUUAACUUCCAACCAUCGAGUUUUACCUAAUAAUGAAAUAUACAAUAAAUUAGGCUAUAAUUACUUUAGAGAACUAUUAAAUGUCUAUAUUUUUAGGUCUACAUAAGUGUAUAAAAUACACUUAUCAAACACCCCCAAACUUAAACAUUUGUUUGUCCUCAAACAAAACCAUAACCUAACUUAACAAACAUACAAACAUACAAAAUAUUUUGGUUGGAUAAUCUUGCUUUUUACCUUGGGAUAUGAAAUUAUAAUAUUAAAUCUACGAACAGCUUCUAGGUUACAAUACCAAAAUUAAUGUCCACUUUACCAGAUGCAAAAUUGACGUAUGUGUGAAAAAUUAAGUAAUCAAUCAUGAAUACACAAGUUGUUUCAGUUCCAGACCUUCUGUGGUCAAAUAUAUCAUUUUCAUCUCUCGUAAGAUUCACACACCAUCAAGCUUAUUCUUUUUCACUCUUUUCCUAGCGUAUAAUCUAAGGUUGAAUUUUUCAUUACUAUCCUCACUCUCUCCAAUUUAGGUGGAUGUUACUAGUAGCAAGUCAACACAUCAAUGAAUAAAUAUUCUCCAAUUAUUUGGUUGCUUAGACUGUCAAGACUCAACUAGGCUAAUUAUCCUUCAUCAAAAGUCAAAUUCCCUCGAACAAGUGUUAGGACUUAAUAAGGCAGUUAGUGCAUUUUUUUUUGGUUCUUUUUUUUUUCCCUAUUGCACUUCCCCUUAAGCUUUCUAGAUGACUCAUGUAGCAGGCUUUAGGUUGAUAACUCUCAAAUCAGACGACUUUAGGGUAUCAGAUUUUUAAACACCCUUACAAGUUUAAUAACCCGAGUCAUAAAGGUUUCGAAGAGAACAAUUAUUUUUUUCUUUCAAGGGUAACAUCAUCUUUGAUUAUUUUCUAAAUGAUCCCUGUAGCGAGCUUUAAUUGCUCGAUUCAUAAAGGUUUCAAAGAGAAGUUUUAAAUUUUAAAAUAUAUGCCUUGAAUAGUGCAAUGCCUCUUAUCAUAUACCUAUUCAAGAAAAUUGACCUCCAACUCAAGAUUUCACAAAAUUUUAUCCUGUUCAUCUCAGACAAUCCACACAAUUUUUUUCCACGCAAGGAAUUCCUAGCCACAUCCGUAUCUUCUUACAAUAGUAAAAUCACCCUAAACUGUGCUAAAUUUGGUCUAAAAAUAAUUAGUUUAGUAUAGUUUAGGUAAAACAUCUAUGUCCAACUAAAUCAACCUAUCAAGAGCAUAAAAAACUCAUUUCAUUAUAAUGUCAAAUUCAAUUCUAAUGUGCGUAUAAUAUCAAGUUUUGCAAUGUUAUCUAGCAUGCAACAUAUCCACAGUUCAUAAAUUAACACUAAAUCUCAAUUUAGAUCAUCAUUGCCGACCAAGCUAUCCAACCCACACAAGCACAGAACCUAAUAAAUUUUUUUUAAGUAGUACUAAAAACAAAUGCACCAAAACACAUAAGCAUACGGAAAAAAAAAACUUAAUUUUUUUUCACCCCCAAACUUGAAGCCGAUAUUGUCCUCAAUGUCAUAAAGCAAAAGUAAGAGUAUAAGGGAAUGGGGAAGAAAAGGAAGAAAAUACUCCCCAAAAUUUUCUGUUGAAUAUGUGAGGCACUAUAGAUGACGGCUUGACAAUCUCUGUCAUUAUACUUUUCCUUUGGUUUAUGUUGUUUUAAGUGUUCCAUGACGUCAUGAUCCUGCACAUAGCAGUUAAAUCAAACAUUAAAAAUAAGUAAUCUAGAAUAUGUGUUACUUAGCCCAAGCAAUCAAAAUACCAAUAAUAAAUUCAAUGGCCUAAUGGAAGUAUUAAAGAUGGUGAUACCCUACAAAUUAAAACGUGCUUAAAUCUAAUGCAACCUAGUAAUCGAAACAAAUCUAUAUGCUAUGCUAUGCGAUGCAGAAAGCAAAAUAACUAAAAGCGUUAGAAGAUCGAGUUGCCUCCCAAUAAGCGCUUAAUUUAUAGUCUUUAGCUAGACUGUAUGGAAGAAUUGAUCAUGAUGGUUUAUAUCUUGAGUUUUUGCACUCCUUGCAAUUUUCGAUUUUGCAUCCUCGUUUUGCCUUCCAAACCUUGAACCCUCCAUUCCCUUCUUGUCCAAGGCUUCCUAAGUUUUUAGGUUAUGUCUCCUUCAAGCCUUGUUGCACAUUUGCAGCAAUAUAAUUGCACUCCUCCUUAACCUUUUUGCUAAUCUCUUCAAGUAAUGAAUUUUUGAUAGUGUUGUAGAUCUUGAAUUUCUCUUCCUUAUCUUCCACUCUCAAUGUCAAUUUGCCAUUUUCAAAGUCCACGAUAGCUCGACUUAUUGAUAGGAAGGAUCUGCCCAAGAUAAGUAACACUUCAUCCCAAGACUCCUCUAUAUCUAGGACAACGAAAUCAACUAGGAAUAUGAUUUACCCACUUUAAUGAGCACGUUCUCAACUACUCCACGUGGGUAUUUGAUUGAUCUAUCCGCCAAUUGAAGGUAGAUGGAUGUGUCUUUCAGCUCUUCCAAACCUAAGUUUUUGUAUACAAAAGAAGGCAUUAGGUUAAUACUUGCUCUAGAAUCACAUAAGCAAUUAAAAUUUAAAUCUUUUCCUAUUGAGGAAGGUAUUUUGGGACUCCCCGAAUCUUGUAGUUUAGGAGGUAAUUUAUUCUGUAAGAUGGCACUACACUCUUCAUUUAACUUGAUGGUCUCAAAAUCUGUAAUAUUUCUCUUUUUUGAUAGGAUCUCCUUCAGAAAUUUUGCAUAGUUUGAUAUUUGAGAUAAAACUUCAAUCAAUGGGACAUUGAAAUGAAGUUUCUUAAAGAUAUCCAAGAACUUUGCAAAUUGUUCUUCCAACUUCUUCUUUUGUAAUUUAUGGGGAAAUGGGAAUAGAGGCACAUAAGGUUUGAUAGGAGCGGUUACCUUGAUUUGUAGAUUUUCUAGCUCUUGAGAUGGAACUACUUUGUCCAGUUGUUCAUAUUUAUCUACCUGUUCCUCAUCUGUAAAAGGUGACUUUUUAUUUUCUGUCACCCGUCUUUUAACUAUAACUUCUGGAAGUUUAACUCCACUGCGUGUAGUAAUUGCCUCAAUCUCCUCGCUCUCCAAAACUUUUACUGUCAUUACCUGCUGUUUAGGAUUUGUUUCCGUGUCGAUUGGUAGUGUUCCUUGCUGUCUUUCUGAGACUGCUUUUGCUAUUUGUUCCAUCUGAUUUUUUAAAUUCUUGAUAGCAGCUUCCUGAACUUGUAAAGUCUUAUCUGUUCUUUGCAUGUGUUGAGUAGAGAUCUCUGCCAAUUUAAUGACAAGAUCUUUCAAUGAAGAAUUAUUUUCAGCCUAUCGAAAACCUGGAGGUGCAGUCUACUAUGCCGCAAUCUAACUACCUGAUUGUUGCUCCAUUGAAAAUCUGGAUAAUUUCUCCAGCUUGGGUAGUAGGUGUUAGGAUUCUGAUUGUGUUGCUAUCUUUGAAAAUUUUGAGCAUAAUUUACAUCAUCUAGUGAUUGAUCAAAAGGACUACCCAUAGUGCAAUCAGCACUUUCAUGAUUUCCUCUACAGUGCUUGCAUUUUUGUCCUACUGUUUGAAACAUGUUGAUGACAUCUGUUCUCAAGUAGAAGUUUUCCUGACCAAACACCGGAUAUACAAUACUGGACUGGCUUUCCACUACCAGUGGAACCAUAUACUCUCCCAUGAGCCUUGCAUUUUUGUUCACUACAGCGAUAUUCAGUUGUGAUACUCCCAAAUUAGCCCCGAUUGUUAGUUGAUUCGGAUUUUUGUUUGCCAUGUCUUCAUCUUUUUGUUUUUGAUGUGUUUCAAGCUGUUGUCUUUUUCGAAAGUUGAAUGUUCAUUCGAUGGGUCAAAUUGAGCAAGAUCACCAGUUCUCAAACUUCGCAUAUAAAGUUCUAAAAAAGAAAGUAAGAAACGUAGUAAAAUUUUUCUAAUAAUUAUACUAAAACAGAAAAAAUUAAAAUUCAGAUUAAAGCUAAAAUAAACUAAAACUAGUAAAAAAAAAUAGUCCCCGGCAUGGCGUCAAAAACUUGAUCGUUUGAUUACCUCAAGUGAACGGGAUCGUGAGCAAGUAAUAUAGUAGUGUGUAGAGUGUCGAACUCACGACGAUUAUGUGUUUGAUCCAGUUAAAACUAAUAAUACCCUUAAUCGAAUAGCAAAAUCAAGUUGUGACUAAACAAUAUUAAAUCUAGCAACUAAAUUGAAAGCAAAGUAAAAAUUUAUCAAAUUCGCGGGAAGUAUUGCUAAGAUGUAGAAUCCCCCUUGCUAAUCUAUUUUUAGUUCGACAAUUUAAAUCAACAAUUUGAAAUCAUGUUUGUUUGUCAAUGUUCCUAUUUUAAUUGAAAACCUCUCUCGAUGGCUAUCAAAUCUAUUUCCUUCAUGCGACCUUCCUAUCACUCGAUGAAAGAUACAAACAUGAUAAAUGCAAGAACAUCUUAUAAAAGUCAUAUGAAGUAUAGAGGUAUAUCUCUAUCCUUUGUCGAACCUCACAAUAUUUAUUAUUUUGUGCUAAUGAUCCUAUUGUCUCUCUCGAUAAUAACAAAAUUCACAAACAAUUCAACUAGUGGUCAAUUAAUUGAAAAAGCAUGAAAACGAUAAUAAACAUCCAAACAAUUAAACAAAUUAACAUCAAUUAAAUUAUUCAAAUUAAAAAUUCAUAACAAGGGUUCAUCACAUCCUAACAAAUAUGAAAAAUUAGCCUAACAUAUUGAAAUUACAAGAAAUCAUAUAUAAGUGGAAAGACAUAACCCGAAUUUUUGAUAAAUUGUGAAGAUGAAGAUAAAUCUUGAAAUCUUGAAUCUCUUCAAUGGUUUCUUAAUGAAUCUCUACUUGCGCUCUCUCUUCUUUGUCCAAUACCAAGUUUGAAUCUUCAAGUGAUUGAAUUCUUACAAGUCUCCUUCAAUUCUUUUACAAAAAUAAUGAAUUCUCUUCCUUUGAUGAUGAUAAUUGAUGAAUGUUGGAGUAUAUUAUGUAUAAGAGACAUGUACGAAAGCCUCCUUCAUGUAUUCUAUUGGGUAUCUGUAGUGGUCGAAAAUUGGUGAAAAAUCACGUCCAAGUUGGUUUCCAAAAGAGUUCCAAUCGAAUAAGCAAAGUUACACUCGCAUGCGGAUUUUUUUCUCUGCACAGCAGUCAAUAUUUUGAUCAUAACUGUGUCUCCUGAUAUUUGAUUGAGUUGAUUCAAAAUGCAUUGAAACGAUAACUAAAAGGGCUACGAUUCUUUUAGAGAUAAAUAUUUUUCAAUUCGAACGUUUACUACGCCUAAAAUUGGUCACAAUCCUUGACAAAAAAAUCUAGAAGAUGUAUCAUGUAAUUCGAAGUCGAUUAUGGUAAUAUUCUGAUGAUAUUUCAUUCCUUUUUUACUUCUAAUUGCAUCCAAUUGACUCUUACCAAUCUUUAAAAUAUCUCAUAUGGUCCAAUUCAACCAUUGGAUAUUUACAAUUUGGUCCUGAACUUUGUACUUCAUCAUUUUUCGUCGUUUUUCACUUAUUUCUUUCAAUUUAGCUUUCAACCAUCGAGUUUUACCUAAUAAAUGAAAUAUACAAUAAAUUAGGUUAUAAUUGCUUUAAAGAACUAUUAAAUGUCUAUAUUUUUAGGUCUACAUAAGUGUAUAAAAUACACUUAUCAAGGAUAAGGAUGUCAUUCUUCUUAAUUCAUUACCUGAAGCUUAUAAAGAUGUUAAAACUGUCAUUAAGUAUGGCACGGAUGUCUUGACUCCUAAGGUUGUUAAGAAGCAAAGAACUAGAACUUAAAUCUGAAAGGCAGGGAAGGGAUUCCGAGAGUCAGCUUGUUAGGGGUAGAUCACUUAGUAGGCAAAAUAGUAGUCGUAAAAAUCAUAAUCAUCAAGGAAAUAAUAAUAACAAGAAGAAAUGGAAAGGAAGACCUAGGUCAAAGUCUAGGUCUGGGAGUAGAAAGUGCUAUGGAUGUGGAAAAACUAGUCACCUUAUUAAAGACUGCUACAAAAAAAAAAAAAAAAAAAGGAAUGAACAAAGAGAUAAGUAUGUGGAUGAGGGAAAUGUUGUAGAACCCCUAGAAGAUAAAACUGUGGACGUCUAUGUUGUUACAGAACCCAUUACUGAUGUGAAUACUAUUAAUUUUUCUGAAAAUAAUUACCAGAGUCAAGAGUGGAUUCUUGAUUCUGGUUAUACCUUCCAUAUGACUUCUAAAAGAUCUUGGUUAGAAAGUUUUAAAAACAUAAAUGGAGGUGAGGUAGUAAUGGGUAAUAAUGCAGCCUGUAAAGUUUUAGGAAUUGGUAAUGUGACUUUGAAAUUUGAAAAUGAAUAUAUCUUUACCCUAUAGAGAGUAGGAUAUGUCCCAGAUUUAAAAAGAAAUUGAAUUUUAAUGGAUAAUCUGGAUGACAUUAGCCUACAAGCUAAGCUUGGUGAUGGCCUAUUAAAAGUAAUUAAAGGCUCUCUUGUAAUAUUCAAAGGUGCCAAAAGAAAUGGAACAUAUGUCACUAGAGCUGACGUAAUUUCAAGUCACACUGCUGAAGUUGAUGCCACCUUAAAAUGACACAAUAGGUUAGCACAUGUAAGUGAAAGAGGUCUGCACAUUUUGAGUAAAAAGGGUGUUCAUGGAAAAGAUAAUAUUUCAAAAAUUUCCUUUUGUGAUUAUUGUACUCUAGGAAAAUAACAUAGACUUCACUUCAAUACAGUAUGAGACUACUUCUGUGUUGGAGUAUGUACAUGUUGAUUUGUGAGGACCCUCAUCUACCAUCACUCAAGGAGAAAAUAAAUAUUUUCUAUCUUUGAUUGAUGAUUUUCAAGAAAGGUUUAGAUUUUUCUGUUAAAACAGAAGUCAGAUACUUUUGAAAAAUUUAAAGGUUAGAAAACCUUGAUUGAAAAUCAGAAUGGGAAGAAAAUUGAUAAACUAAGAAUUGAUAACAGUCUAAAAUUUUGUAAUGCUGAUUUUUGAUCAAUUAUGUAAGGUUAGUGGCAUCUUUAGACAUAAAACUAUACCCUAUACCCCUCAACAAAAUGGAGUUGUUGAAAUGAUGAAUAGAAAAAUUCUAGACAAAAUUAGAUGCAUGGUGAUUAGUUCUGGAGUCCUAAAGUGUUGCGGGAAGAAGUUGCUAUGACAGCAGUGUACAUCAUAAAUAGAACCCCUACUAGUGCCUUAGAUGGUAGAACUCCUGAGGAGGUGUGGUAUGGAAAAAUAUCAUAUUAUACUCACCUUAAGACUUUUGGUUGUGUAGCCUUUUCCCAUCAAAGUGUUGGUAAAUUUGAACCUAGAUCCCUAAAAUGUGUUUUUAUGGGGUAUCCUAGGAGUGUAAAGGGCUACAAGUUGUGGGAUAGGAGUGUUAAGGGGUUUAGAAUAAUCACAAGUAGGAAUGUGACCUUUAAUGAGUCUGACAUGCCCUGCAUAUCUGAGAAAUAUCAUGAAACACACCUGUUGAACAUACUGAUGAAGUUCAGACUGAAAUCGAGGAAGUUUUAGAAGUUGAAAUAGAGGAAAAAGUGCCUGUUCAAGAAGUAGGUGAGGAAGAAAAUCCUUUAGAAGGUUACCAGUUUACUAGGGAUAGGGUUAGAAGAGAGAUAAGACAACCCUUGAAAAUGAGAGACUACCUAUCCUUAGCUUUAUUGUCCUACCAAGAUCUGGCCUUUAAAAAACCUAAAACAUAUGAGGAGGCAGUGAGUUGUCAAUUAUUAGAUGACUGGAAAUUGGCCAUGGGUAAAGAAAUGAGCUCUCUAUUGAAAAAUAAUACUCGGACUUUGGUUCCCAAUCCUAAGGAUAAAUCCAUAGUUGAUUGUAAAUGGAUUUAUAACAUAAAAGAGGGUAAUAAUUUGAAGCAGCCUAUUAGGUUUAAAGCCAGAUUAGUUGCAAAAGGAUUCACACAAAAACCUGGGAUAAUUUUCUCACAUGUGGUUAAAUACACAACCUUAAGAUUCAUGCUUGCUUUAGUAACACAUUUUGACUUAGAAAUUGAACAAAUGGACGUCAAAAUUGCUUUUUUGUAUGGAGACUUGGAUGAAACCAUUUAUAUGUGUUAGGCACUUGGUUUUAUUGAUACUAAGAAAUCUAAACAUGUGUGGCUAUUAAAAAGAUCUUUGUAUGGGCUUAAACAACUACCAAGACGAUGGUAUAAACGCUUUGAUAAUUUUGUGUCAUCCGUUGGUUUUCUUAAAAGCUUUUUUGAUCAUUGUUUGUACUUUAAAGAGGAUAAAAAUGGUCUGUGAUUGUUUACCUGCUUCUGUAUGUGGAUGAUAUGUUACUAAUAGGGCAACAUCUAAGUGAUAUUAAUGAUAUUAAAGGUUUUUAUGCUCUGAAUUUGAAAUGAAAGGCUUGGGACAUGCUAUAAGAAUUUUAGGCAUGGAUAUUAAGAAAAAUAGAUCUAAACAUGUUCUUUUUCUAUCACAAUCGGCAUAUGUGGAAAAAGUAUUAUCAAAAUUUGCUAUACAUGAAUCAAAGUUUGUUACUUUACCACUUGGAAGCCAUUUUAAAUUGAGUAAAGAUCAGUAUUCUGUUGAUGAAUCUGAUGUGAAAUAUAGGCAAAAGGUUUCUUAUGCUAAUGAUGUGGGGUCUAUUAUGUACACUAUGGUGUGUACCAGUCCUAAUGUUGCUCAUGCCAUCAGCACCUUAAGUAGAUUUAUGGAAAAUCUUGGCCUGAACACUGGAUUGCCUUAAAAUGGUUACUUAGAUAUCUAAACGGGUCCUCUAACUUGGAUUUAUGUUUUAAUCCUUGUAAAGAAGGUAUUAUUUUAAAGGGAUUUGUUAUUUUGAUUAUGCGGGGGACACGACAAUAAAAAAUCAACUACAUCUUACAUGUUUACCUUGUAUGGCAUUUGUGUGAAUUGGAAAUCACAAUUACAGUCUAUUACUGCAUUAUCAACCAUUGAAGCAAAAUAUGUGGUAGCCACUGAAGCCGUAAAAGAAGCAUUAUGGCAUAAAGGUUUAUCAUGUGAAUUAAAUGUCCUUUCUCACACAGUAGUAGUUUACUCAGAUAGUUAGAGUGCUACUCAUUUAUAUAAAAAUCUUAUUUUUCAUGAAAGGACUAAGCAUAUAAAUAUUAGAAUGCAUUUUGUCCAUGAUAUAAUUCAUAAGGAUUCUGUUGUACUUGAAAAAAUACCUAUUGAAUUUAAUCCAGCUGAUACGGGAAGCAGGGAACUCUCUCUUAACAAGUUUAAAUCUUGUUUGGAAAUUCUGAAAAUUGAUACUGGAUAAUUAUAUGGGAAAAGUAGGUACUGGUUUCUCCGUCUUGGUGCUUUGAGUUGUGGGACCUAUAUAAAGGAUGUGCAGAAGUUGUUUUUCUGUAUUUUGAGUCCUGUUCGAGUCAUUGGCAUCAAUGUGGAGAUUGUUUAGUUUGCGAUGCUAAUUUUGAAAUUACAACUCAAAUAAUGGGCUAUGAUGAAAACUGGGCUAGAACCAUUCUUGAUACUACACUUCCAUUGCUCGAUAACUCGAAUGAAGAGGCCCAAAACCCAAGCCCAUCAUUUGGCCACGUGUGAUACUACGGACUAUUGGAUCUUCUAAUUAAUAUCAACCAUGAUGAGCCUCUUAUGUAUAAUGGCGUUUGAUGGUUGCCCUAGUGGACUUCACUCAUUUUUCUUUUGUCUCUUGAACUUUCUAGAAUUUGAGAUUUUCUGUCUUCCUUUCUCCUUCAUCUUCUUUGUGUUUCUCUUGAAACUUCUGUGAUUUGGGGUUUGUAUACUGUGUGAAUAAGCGAUUCUUGAGUGAGGAAAAAUGGUUGAUAUCUGUUUUAGGGUUUUUUUUUCUUUGGUCCGUCGAGGGAGCCUCGUUCGGUUUCUUGUGUGGGUUUUGGUAUUUUGGUGCUUUAGGUUUGUAUAGAAGGUACAAUGAUUUUUGAGCCCAAAUGGUCGAUGAAAUCUUGG
This 12810-nucleotide long non-coding RNA is filed under the name Olea europaea (common olive). Its description in RNAcentral is "long non-coding RNA (OEUR_LNC007065)". Lineage: Eukaryota; Viridiplantae; Streptophyta; Magnoliopsida; Lamiales; Oleaceae. The record is from RNAcentral.